CUACGUGCCAGCAGCCGCGGUAAUACGGAAGGUCCAGGCGUUAUCCGGAUUUAUUGGGUUUAAAGGGAGCGUAGGCUGGAGAUUAAGUGUGUUGUGAAAUGUAGACGCUCAACGUCUGAAUUGCAGCGCAUACUGGUUUCCUUGAGUACGCACAACGUUGGCGGAAUUCGUCGCGUAGCGGUGAAAUGCUUAGAUAUGACGAAGAACUCCGAUUGCGAAGGCAGCUGACGGGAGCGCAACUGACGCUUAAGCUCGAAGGUGCGGGUAUCAAACAGGAUUAGAUACCCUGGUAGUCCGCACAGUAAACGAUGGAUGCCCGCUGUUGGUACCUGGUAUCAGCGGCUAAGCGAAAGCAUUAAGCAUCCCACCUGGGGAGUACGCCGGCAACGGUGAAACUCAAAGGAAUUGACGGGGGCCCGCACAAGCGGAGGAACAUGUGGUUUAAUUCGAUGAUACGCGAGGAACCUUACCCGGGCUUGAA
This 481-nucleotide ribosomal RNA is filed under the name uncultured bacterium. RNAcentral describes it as "bacterial SSU rRNA". It matches the Rfam family "Bacterial small subunit ribosomal RNA", at positions 501 to 985 of the family's 1533-position model. The record is from RNAcentral.